Molecule: ribosomal RNA, 962 nt
Filed under: Parastasia ferrieri ferrieri
Lineage: Eukaryota; Metazoa; Arthropoda; Insecta; Coleoptera; Scarabaeidae
Description: partial 16S ribosomal RNA
Rfam family: Archaeal large subunit ribosomal RNA (bases 413-613)
Source: RNAcentral
GGUUCGCGUAUUAAAGAGAGCUUAUAUUAUAUAUAUAUAAUUGUGGCAUAAAUUUUUAUAAUAUUAUAUUUGUAAUGAAACGUUAUUCGUUUUUUAAAAUAUCUAGUUUCUUAAGAAAUAAAUUUAAUUUAGUUUUUUAAAUAUAUUUAUAUUGAUUAUUUAGUUGAAUGUUUUAAAAAGGUAAUAUUUUAUGGGAUAAGCUUUAAAAUAUAGCAUUAAAAAUUAUAUUUUAAUAAUAAAAAUUAGUAGGAUUGGAAAUGUUUUUCUUUAGUUUGUUAUAAUUAGUUUUUAUUUGUAUAAGAUUUAUAUUAAUUUUAAAUUUUCUAUUAAGAUAAAUUAUAUAAUUAAAAUUUAUAUGUAAUAAUGGUGGAAUUAGUAUAAUUGAUUGUAUAAUUAUGUUAAGUUAUUAAGGUUAAAUUAAGGAACUCGGCAAAUGGAUUUUCCGCCUGUUUAUUAAAAACAUGUCUUUUUGAGUAUAAUUUAAAGUCUGACCUGCCCAAUGAGGAAUUGAAUGGCCGCGGUAAUUUGACCGUGCAAAGGUAGCAUAAUCAUUAGUUUUUUAAUUGAAAGCUGGAAUGAACGGUUGGACGAGAAAAUAACUGUCUCAGUUUAAUUUAAUUUAGAAUUUUAUUUGUAAGUAAAAAAGCUUAUAUGUAUUUAAAAGACGAGAAGACCCUAUAGAGUUUUAUAAUUGUUAAUUUUUUAUAUUUUUGGUAUGUUUGAGUAUUUUAUAUUAACAAUUAUUUUAUUGGGGCGAUAGAAAAAUUAGAUAAACUUUUUUUUGUAAUUAGUUCAUUAAUUUAUGUGUGAUUGAUCCGUUUUUUACGAUUAUAAGAUUAAAUUACCUUAGGGAUAACAGCGUAAUUUUUUUUUAGAGUUCUUAUCGAAAAAAGAGUUUGCGACCUCGAUGUUGGAUUAAAAUUAACUUUUGGUGUAGGGGCUAAAAGGUUAGGUCUGUUCGA